CGGACGGGUGAGUAAUGCCUAGGAAUCUGCCUGGUAGUGGGGCACAACGUUUCGAAAGGAACGCUAAUAACGCAUACGUCGUACGGGAGAAAGCAGGCCACCUUCGGGCCUUGCGCUAUCAGAUGAGCUUAGGUCGGAUUAGCUAGUUGGUGGGGUAAUGGCUCACCAAGGCGACGAUCCGUAACUGGUCUGAGAGAAUGAUCAGUCACACUGGAACUGAGACACGGUCCAGACUCCUACGGGAGGCAGCAGUGGGGAAUAUUGGACAAUGGGCGAAAGCCUGAUCCAGCCAUGCCGCGUGUGUGAAGAAGGUCUUCGGAUUGUAAAGCACUUUAAGUUGGGAGGAAGGGCAGUAAGUUAAUACCUUGCUGGUUUGACGUUACCGACAGAAUAAGCACCGGCUAACUCUGUGCCAGCAGCCGCGGUAAAACAGAGGGUGCAAGCGUUAAUCGGAAUUACUGGGCGUAAAGCGCGCGUAGGUGGUUCGUUAAGUUGGAUGUGAAAGGCCGGGGCUCAACCUGGGAACUGCAUCCAAAACUGGCGAGCUAGAGUAUCGUAGAGGGUGGUGGAAAUUCC
Molecule: ribosomal RNA, 576 nt
Filed under: Pseudomonas entomophila
Lineage: Bacteria; Pseudomonadati; Pseudomonadota; Gammaproteobacteria; Pseudomonadales; Pseudomonadaceae
Description: bacterial SSU rRNA
Rfam family: Bacterial small subunit ribosomal RNA
Source: RNAcentral